GAUCAUGGCUCAGGAUGAACGCUAGCGGCAGGCUUAACACAUGCAAGUCGAGGGGCAGCGGGGAGUAGCAAUACUCCGCCGGCGACCGGCGCACGGGUGCGUAACGCGUAUGCAACCUACCUUUAACAGGGGCAUAACACUGAGAAAUUGGUACUAAUUCCCCAUAACAUUCGAGAAGGCAUCUUCUUGGGUUAAAACUCCGGUGGUUAAGAUGGGCAUGCGUUGUNUUAGCUAGUUGGUGAGGUAACGG
RNAcentral lists this ribosomal RNA (250 nucleotides) under uncultured bacterium. Its description in RNAcentral is "partial 16S ribosomal RNA". It matches the Rfam family "Bacterial small subunit ribosomal RNA", at positions 15 to 263 of the family's 1533-position model. The record is from RNAcentral.